UCAGGAUGAACGCUAGCUACAGGCUUAACACAUGCAAGUCGAGGGGCAUCAGGAAGAAAGCUUGCUUUCUUUGCUGGCGACCGGCGCACGGGUGAGUAACACGUAUCCAACCUGCCCUUUGCUCGGGGAUAGCCUUUCGGAAGAAAGAUUAAUACCCGAUAGCAUAAUGAUUCCGCAUGGUUUCAUUAUUAAAGGAUUCCGGUAAAGGAUGGGGAUGCGUUCCAUUAGGUUGUUGGUGAGGUAACGGCUCACCAAGCCUUCGAUGGAUAGGGGUUCUGAGAGGAAGGUCCCCCACAUUGGAACUGAGACACGGUCCAAACUCCUACGGGAGGCAGCAGUGAGGAAUAUUGGUCAAUGGGCGCUAGCCUGAACCAGCCAAGUAGCGUGAAGGAUGAAGGCUCUAUGGGUCGUAAACUUCUUUUAUAUAAGAAUAAAGUGCAGUAUGUAUACUGUUUUGUAUGUAUUAUAUGAAUAAGGAUCGGCUAACUCCGUGCCAGCAGCCGCGGUAAUACGGAGGAUCCGAGCGUUAUCCGGAUUUAUUGGGUUUAAAGGGAGCGUAGGUGGACUGGUAAGUCAGUUGUGAAAGUUUGCGGCUCAACCGUAAAAUUGCAGUUGAUACUGUCAGUCUUGAGUACAGUAGAGGUGGGCGGAAUUCGUGGUGUAGCGGUGAAAUGCUUAGAUAUCACGAAGAACUCCGAUUGCGAAGGCAGCUCACUGGACUGCAACUGACACUGAUGCUCGAAAGUGUGGGUAUCAAACAGGAUUAGAUGCCCUGGUAGUCCACACAG
Molecule: ribosomal RNA, 788 nt
Filed under: uncultured organism
Description: SSU rRNA
Rfam family: Bacterial small subunit ribosomal RNA
Source: RNAcentral